This 523-nucleotide ribosomal RNA is filed under the name uncultured bacterium. RNAcentral's name for it is "bacterial SSU rRNA". It matches the Rfam family "Bacterial small subunit ribosomal RNA", at positions 379 to 916 of the family's 1533-position model. The record is from RNAcentral.
AAGCCUGACGCAGCAACGCCGCGUGGGGGAUGAAGGCCUUCGGAUUGUAAACCCCUUUCAGCAGGGACGAAACUGACGGUACCUGCAGAAGAAGCCCCGGCCAACUACGUGCCAGCAGCCGCGGUAAUACGUAGGGGGCGAGCGUUGUCCGGAUUUAUUGGGCGUAAAGAGCUCGUAAGCGGCUUGGCAAGUCGGGUGUGAAACCUCCAGGCUCAACCUGGAGACGCCACUCGAUACUGCCAUGGCUAGAGUCCGGUAGGGGACCACGGAAUUCCUGGUGUAGCGGUGAAAUGCGCAGAUAUCAGGAGGAACACCGGUGGCGAAGGCGGUGGUCUGGGCCGGCACUGACGCUGAGGAGCGAAAGCGUGGGUAGCAAACAGGAUUAAAUACCCUGGUAGUCCACGCCGUAAACGUUGGGCACUAGGUGUGGGGCCUUAUCAACGGGUUCCGUGCCGUACCUAACGCAUUAAGUGCCCCGCCUGGGGAGUACGGCCGCAAGGCUAAAACUCAAAGGAAUUGACGG